CGAGCGAAGGAUUAAGAGCUUGCUCUUAUGAAGUUAGCGGCGGACGGGUGAGUAACACGUGGGUAACCUGCCCAUAAGACUGGGAUAACUCCGGGAAACCGGGGCUAAUACCGGAUAACAUUUUGAACCGCAUGGUUCGAAAUUGAAAGGCGGCUUCGGCUGUCACUUAUGGAUGGACCCGCGUCGCAUUAGCUAGUUGGUGAGGUAACGGCUCACCAAGGCAACGAUGCGUAGCCGACCUGAGAGGGUGAUCGGCCACACUGGGACUGAGACACGGCCCAGACUCCUACGGGAGGCAGCAGUAGGGAAUCUUCCGCAAUGGACGAAAGUCUGACGGAGCAACGCCGCGUGAGUGAUGAAGGCUUUCGGGUCGUAAAACUCUGUUGUUAGGGAAGAACAAGUGCUAGUUGAAUAAGCUGGCACCUUGACGGUACCUAACCAGAAAGCCACGGCUAACUACGUGCCAGCAGCCGCGGUAAUACGUAGGUGGCAAGCGUUAUCCGGAAUUAUUGGGCGUAAAGCGCGCGCAGGUGGUUUCUUAAGUCUGAUGUGAAAGCCCACGGCUCAACCGUGGAGGGUCAUUGGAAACUGGGAGACUUGAGUGCAGAAGAGGAAAGUGGAAUUCCAUGUGUAGCGGUGAAAUGCGUAGAGAUAUGG
RNAcentral lists this ribosomal RNA (657 nucleotides) under bacterium. RNAcentral's name for it is "bacterial SSU rRNA". It matches the Rfam family "Bacterial small subunit ribosomal RNA", at positions 63 to 701 of the family's 1533-position model. The record is from RNAcentral.